RNAcentral lists this unclassified non-coding RNA (294 nucleotides) under uncultured fungus. Its description in RNAcentral is "partial contains 5.8S rRNA and ITS2". Lineage: Eukaryota; Fungi. The record is from RNAcentral.
GACGCAAGUUGCGGUUUUCUUUCGAAAACCAUGUUUGCCUGAGGGUUGUUUCACACAAAUUGAGGCGUGUCAUUUCCCAUAAAAAAGAGAUGACUCCCUUUAAAUGAUUUUGAAUUUCCCCUCCCGAUCUUUUGUGACUUGAAGAAAAGUUAAUUUUUUUUCAAGAAACGAAAUCUCUCCAUUUUUAUUUUUUCCUUGAAAACAAAGAGAAGGAGCUCAUUGAGUACCCGAAAAAAAAAAAAAAUUAAUUAAUAACGCAACCUCAGAUCAAGCAAGACUACCCGCUGAACUUAA